AGCGAACGCUGGCGGCAGGCUUAACACAUGCAAGUCGAGCGGGCACUUUCGGGUGUCAGCGGCGGACGGGUGAGUAACGCGUGGGAACGUGCCCUCUGGUUCGGAAUAACUCAGGGAAACUUGAGCUAAUACCGGAUACGCCCUUUUGGGGAAAGGCUUGCUGCCGGAGGAUCGGCCCGCGUCUGAUUAGCUAGUUGGUGAGGUAACGGCUCACCAAGGCGACGAUCAGUAGCUGGUCUGAGAGGAUGAUCAGCCACACGGGGACUGAGACACGGCCCAGACUCCAACGGGAGGCAGAAGGGGGGAAAAUUGGAAAAGGGGCGCAAGCCUGACCCAGCAAGGCCGGGUGAGGGAUGAAGGCUUUAGGGUUGAAAAGCUUUUUUAUCCGGGACGAAAAGGACGGUACCGGGGGAAUAAGCCCCGGCUAACUUCG
This 433-nucleotide ribosomal RNA is filed under the name uncultured bacterium. Its description in RNAcentral is "partial 16S ribosomal RNA". It matches the Rfam family "Bacterial small subunit ribosomal RNA", at positions 30 to 505 of the family's 1533-position model. The record is from RNAcentral.